Molecule: ribosomal RNA, 253 nt
Filed under: uncultured bacterium
Lineage: Bacteria
Description: partial 16S ribosomal RNA
Rfam family: Bacterial small subunit ribosomal RNA
Source: RNAcentral
UACGGAGGGUGCAAGCGUUGUCCGGAUUUAUUGGGUUUAAAGGGUGCGUAGGCGGCCCGUUAAGUCAGUGGUGAAAGCCUCCAGCUCAACUGGAGAACUGCCAUUGAUACUGGCGGGCUUGAGUACAGACGAGGUUGGCGGAAUUGAUUGUGUAGCGGUGAAAUGCGUAGAUAUCAAGAGGAACACCUGAGGUGAAGACGGGUUGCUAGGCUGACACUGACGCUGAGGCACGAAAGCCAGGGGAGCAAACGGG